UGGUUACACUUAUUUAAUCUAUUGUCAAACAUGACUUGAUCAUCACUUAAAUCAACAUUAACAUAAUAAUGCAUUAAGUGACAAACGUGUAUGUGCAGCAAUAAUGUUUAUUUAGUUUUCACCCUCAGUAAUCUGAUCGCUGCUGUCUGUUUCCUAGUAGAGACUAGCAGCGUGGGUUUUGUUUGGAACUAUUGGAGGCUCCAUGACCCACGUGACUGCUCUUACAGCGAAGUCAGCGGAUGUCGCAACUCUGAGUAUAUCGAGGGCUCUGGAAGAAUGGCUUGACUAUGACAUUAUUUCCGAUUGUUCUUCCACUUGGCUUUGUUUGUUGGUCAAAAAACUAACGUCGAGGUAGACGUUGGAGAUCUCGAGGAUCCGCUUCACUUGCUUUAAAAGACCAGCUCACUGGGGAGGGAAAGACGGGGCGGACGAAGGAUCGGAUAAAGGCUUAUUAUCAAGGGAAGCUUCAGGAGGGAGUAUUCCCUGCAGAUGUGCAGCAGCUGUUGGUGAUUACAAAGGGGUUUGUUGUAAACUGAGUCUGGACCUAGAGUCCCAUCUCCUAAAAGAGGAACCAGAGGAACUAUGGCCCAAACAGGAUGGAGAGUAGUUGAUGAUGGGAUGGUGGAGAGUGUUACCAGUUUACCGAUGAUGAUGGCUCCUGUGAAAAGUGAAGAUGAUGAUGAAGAUCCUCAGUCAUGCUCAUAUUCAGACCAUCUCCAUCAAACCAAAGCUGAAGGCAACACAGAGGUAGAGGCUCCAACCAACAACCCAGCUAAACGCAUUAAAUCAGAAUCUGAUGGAGAUGACUUUGGAGGACAAGAAAUAACCAGUAAUUCAGACCCAAACAUUUAUUUACAACCAAAAAGUGACAGAAAGGCUUCAAACUCUUCUGAGAUACAUUUGUCACAUUUUGGACCUGAAAUGGAAGAUGAUUAUAAAAGCUGGAAUGACAACAAGGCACAUGGAUCAGGUGUAAACAACGAUGUGGAGUCUAACACCGCCAAAAAAUCACUGAGCAGCUCUAAAUGUGGUGAAGAAUUUCA
Molecule: long non-coding RNA, 1043 nt
Organism: Melanotaenia boesemani (Boeseman's rainbowfish)
Lineage: Eukaryota; Metazoa; Chordata; Actinopteri; Atheriniformes; Melanotaeniidae
Exons: 3
Source: RefSeq, a predicted model, not a curated record